Molecule: ribosomal RNA, 216 nt
Filed under: uncultured bacterium
Lineage: Bacteria
Description: partial 16S ribosomal RNA
Rfam family: Bacterial small subunit ribosomal RNA
Source: RNAcentral
UACGUAGGGUGCAAGCGUUAAUCGGAAUUACUGGGCGUAAAGCGUGCGCAGGCGGUUUUGUAAGUUUGUCGUGAAAUCCCCGGGCUCAACCUGGGAAUGGCGAUGAAGACUGCAAGGCUAGAAUCUGGCAGAGGGGGGUGAGAAUUCCACGUGAUAGCAGUGAAAUGCGUAGAGAUGUGGAGGAACACCGAUGGCGAGGCAGCCCCCUGGGUCAAG